Molecule: ribosomal RNA, 253 nt
Filed under: uncultured bacterium
Lineage: Bacteria
Description: partial 16S ribosomal RNA
Rfam family: Bacterial small subunit ribosomal RNA
Source: RNAcentral
UACGUAGGGGGCAAGCGUUGUCCGGAAUCAUUGGGCGUAAAGCGCGUGUAGGCGGCCAGAAAAGUCCGCUGUGAAAACUCGAGGCUCAACCUCGAGACGUCGGCGGAAACCAUCUGGCUAGAGUCCGGAAGAGGAGAGUGGAAUUCCUGGUGUAGCGGUGAAAUGCGCAGAUAUCAGGAGGAACACCGGUGGCGAAGGCGGUUCUCUGGGAAUGUCCUGACGCUGAGGAGCGAAAGUGUGGGGAGCGAACAGG